UGCCAGCCGCCGCGGUAAUACGGAGGGUGCAAGCGUUAAUCGGAAUUACUGGGCGUAAAGCGUACGUAGGUGGCUUGGUCAGUCAGAUGUGAAAUCCCCGGGCUCAACCUGGGAACUGCAUUUGAUACUGCUAAGCUAGAGUAUGGGAGAGGAUAGUGGAAUUCCAGGUGUAGCGGUGAAGUGCGUAGAUAUCUGGAGGAACAUCAGUGGCGAAGGCGGCUAUCUGGACCAAUACUGACACUGAGGUACGAAAGCGUGGGUAGCAAACAGGAUUAGAUA
RNAcentral lists this ribosomal RNA (279 nucleotides) under uncultured bacterium. Its description in RNAcentral is "partial 16S ribosomal RNA". It matches the Rfam family "Bacterial small subunit ribosomal RNA", at positions 506 to 784 of the family's 1533-position model. The record is from RNAcentral.